RNAcentral lists this non-coding RNA (45 nucleotides) under Schistosoma bovis. Lineage: Eukaryota; Metazoa; Platyhelminthes; Trematoda; Strigeidida; Schistosomatidae. RNAcentral also lists the same sequence under 1 other name. The record is from RNAcentral.
AUCUUAUUGACGAGUCCAAAAUAGGACGAAAACAAAAUCUUGUAU